Molecule: small nuclear RNA, 121 nt
Filed under: Fukomys damarensis (Damara mole-rat)
Lineage: Eukaryota; Metazoa; Chordata; Mammalia; Rodentia; Bathyergidae
Description: U2 spliceosomal RNA
Rfam family: U2 spliceosomal RNA
About the family: U2 is a small nuclear RNA (snRNA) component of the spliceosome (involved in pre-mRNA splicing). Complementary binding between U2 snRNA (in an area lying towards the 5' end but 3' to hairpin I) and the branchpoint sequence (BPS) of the intron results the bulging out of an unpaired adenosine, on the BPS, which initiates a nucleophilic attack at the intronic 5' splice site, thus starting the first of two transesterification reactions that mediate splicing.
Source: Rfam by way of RNAcentral
ACUGCUUCUCAACCUUUUGGGUAAGAUCAUGUGUACUGUUUGAUAUCUGUUCUUAUCAGUUUAUUACCUGAUAUGUCCUUCAACUGUGGAAUAUACGUACAGGGAGGCAGACUGAACCCAG